AGGGAAGCUAAGCCGCGAGGUGGAGCAAACCCAAAAAAGUAAGCCUCAGUUCGGAUUGUAGGCUGCAACUCGCCUACAUGAAGUUGGAAUCGCUAGUAAUCGCGAAUCAGAAUGUCGCGGUGAAUACGUUCCCGGGUCUUGUACACACCGCCCGUCACACCACGAGAGUUUACAACACCCGAAGUCAGUGGCCUAACCGCAAGGAGGGAGCUGCCUAAGGUGGGGUAGAUGAUUGGGGUGAAGUCGUAACAAGGUAAC
Molecule: ribosomal RNA, 258 nt
Filed under: uncultured bacterium
Lineage: Bacteria
Description: partial 16S ribosomal RNA
Rfam family: Bacterial small subunit ribosomal RNA
Source: RNAcentral